Molecule: ribosomal RNA, 1561 nt
Filed under: Vibrio owensii
Lineage: Bacteria; Pseudomonadati; Pseudomonadota; Gammaproteobacteria; Vibrionales; Vibrionaceae
Description: bacterial SSU rRNA
Rfam family: Bacterial small subunit ribosomal RNA
Source: RNAcentral
AAAUUGAAGAGUUUGAUCAUGGCUCAGAUUGAACGCUGGCGGCAGGCCUAACACAUGCAAGUCGAGCGGAAACGAGUUAUCUGAACCUUCGGGGAACGAUAACGGCGUCGAGCGGCGGACGGGUGAGUAAUGCCUAGGAAAUUGCCCUGAUGUGGGGGAUAACCAUUGGAAACGAUGGCUAAUACCGCAUAACGCCUACGGGCCAAAGAGGGGGACCUUCGGGCCUCUCGCGUCAGGAUAUGCCUAGGUGGGAUUAGCUAGUUGGUGAGGUAAUGGCUCACCAAGGCGACGAUCCCUAGCUGGUCUGAGAGGAUGAUCAGCCACACUGGAACUGAGACACGGUCCAGACUCCUACGGGAGGCAGCAGUGGGGAAUAUUGCACAAUGGGCGCAAGCCUGAUGCAGCCAUGCCGCGUGUGUGAAGAAGGCCUUCGGGUUGUAAAGCACUUUCAGUCGUGAGGAAGGUAGUGUAGUUAAUAGCUGCAUUAUUUGACGUUAGCGACAGAAGAAGCACCGGCUAACUCCGUGCCAGCAGCCGCGGUAAUACGGAGGGUGCGAGCGUUAAUCGGAAUUACUGGGCGUAAAGCGCAUGCAGGUGGUUUGUUAAGUCAGAUGUGAAAGCCCGGGGCUCAACCUCGGAAUAGCAUUUGAAACUGGCAGACUAGAGUACUGUAGAGGGGGUAGAAUUUCAGGUGUAGCGGUGAAAUGCGUAGAGAUCUGAAGGAAUACCGGUGGCGAAGGCGGCCCCCUGGACAGAUACUGACACUCAGAUGCGAAAGCGUGGGGAGCAAACAGGAUUAGAUACCCUGGUAGUCCACGCCGUAAACGAUGUCUACUUGGAGGUUGUGGCCUUGAGCCGUGGCUUUCGGAGCUAACGCGUUAAGUAGACCGCCUGGGGAGUACGGUCGCAAGAUUAAAACUCAAAUGAAUUGACGGGGGCCCGCACAAGCGGUGGAGCAUGUGGUUUAAUUCGAUGCAACGCGAAGAACCUUACCUACUCUUGACAUCCAGAGAACUUUCCAGAGAUGGAUUGGUGCCUUCGGGAACUCUGAGACAGGUGCUGCAUGGCUGUCGUCAGCUCGUGUUGUGAAAUGUUGGGUUAAGUCCCGCAACGAGCGCAACCCUUAUCCUUGUUUGCCAGCGAGUAAUGUCGGGAACUCCAGGGAGACUGCCGGUGAUAAACCGGAGGAAGGUGGGGACGACGUCAAGUCAUCAUGGCCCUUACGAGUAGGGCUACACACGUGCUACAAUGGCGCAUACAGAGGGCAGCAAGCUAGCGAUAGUGAGCGAAUCCCAAAAAGUGCGUCGUAGUCCGGAUUGGAGUCUGCAACUCGACUCCAUGAAGUCGGAAUCGCUAGUAAUCGUGGAUCAGAAUGCCACGGUGAAUACGUUCCCGGGCCUUGUACACACCGCCCGUCACACCAUGGGAGUGGGCUGCAAAAGAAGUAGGUAGUUUAACCUUCGGGAGGACGCUUACCACUUUGUGGUUCAUGACUGGGGUGAAGUCGUAACAAGGUAGCGCUAGGGGAACCUGGCGCUGGAUCACCUCCUUAAACGAUGAU